RNAcentral lists this ribosomal RNA (549 nucleotides) under uncultured bacterium. Its description in RNAcentral is "bacterial SSU rRNA". It matches the Rfam family "Bacterial small subunit ribosomal RNA", at positions 8 to 525 of the family's 1533-position model. The record is from RNAcentral.
AGAGUUUGAUCCUGGCUCAGGACGAACGCUGGCGGCGUGCCUAACACAUGCAAGUCGAACGGACUCUUAAAUUUAGUUUACUAAAUUUAAGAGUUAGUGGCGGACGGGUGAGUAACGCGUGGGCAAUCUGCCCUUAAGACAGGGAUAACAGUUGGAAACGACUGCUAAUACCAGAUACGCUUUUUGGUUGGCAUCAACCGAAAAGGAAAAGAGGCCUCUAAAUUAUGCUUCUGCUUAAGGAUGAGCCCGCGUCUGAUUAGCUAGUUGGUGAGGUAAAGGCCCACCAAGGCAACGAUCAGUAGCCGGCCUGAGAGGGUGAACGGCCACACUGGGACUGAGACACGGCCCAGACUCCUACGGGAGGCAGCAGUGGGGAAUAUUGCGCAAUGGGCGAAAGCCUGACGCAGCAACGCCGUGUGAGGGAUGAAGGCUUUCGGGUCGUAAACCUCUGUCGGAAGGGAAGAACGGGCAUUGGUCUAAUAGGCCUUUGUUUUGACGGUACCUUUAGAGGAAGCACCGGCUAACUCCGUGCCAGCAGCCGCGGUAAUA